AGCGAACGCUGGCGGCAGGCUUAACACAUGCAAGUCGAACGCCCCGCAAGGGGAGUGGCAGACGGGUGAGUAACACGUGGGAACGUACCCUUUGGUUCGGAAUAACUUGGGGAAACUCAAGCUAAUACCGGAUAAGCCCUUAUGGGGAAAGGUUUACUGCCGAAGGAUCGGCCCGCGUCUGAUUAGCUAGUUGGUGAGGUAAUGGCUCACCAAGGCGACGAUCAGUAGCUGGUAUGAGAGGAUGAUCAGCCACACUGGGACUGAGACACGGCCAAGACUCCUACGGGAGGCAGCAGUGGGGAAUAUUGGACAAUGGGGGCAACCCUGAUCCAGCCAUGCCGCGUGAGUGAUGAAGGCCUUAGGGUUGUAAAGCUCUUUUACCCGGGACGAUAAUGACUGUACCGGGAGAAUAAGCCCCGGCUAACUUCGUGCCAGCCGCCGCAGUAA
RNAcentral lists this ribosomal RNA (447 nucleotides) under uncultured bacterium. Its description in RNAcentral is "partial 16S ribosomal RNA". It matches the Rfam family "Bacterial small subunit ribosomal RNA", at positions 29 to 523 of the family's 1533-position model. The record is from RNAcentral.